CAACUUUCAACAACGGAUCUCUUGGCUCUCGCAUCGAUGAAGAACGCAGCGAAAUGCGAUAAGUAAUGUGAAUUGCAGAAUUCAGUGAAUCAUCGAAUCUUUGAACGCACCUUGCACUCCUUGGUAUUCCGAGGAGUAUGCCUGUUUGAGUGUCAUGG
This 158-nucleotide ribosomal RNA is filed under the name Podoscypha petalodes subsp. rosulata. RNAcentral describes it as "5.8S ribosomal RNA". It matches the Rfam family "5.8S ribosomal RNA". From Rfam's summary of the family: 5.8S ribosomal RNA (5.8S rRNA) is a component of the large subunit of the eukaryotic ribosome. It is transcribed by RNA polymerase I as part of the 45S precursor that also contains 18S and 28S rRNA. Lineage: Eukaryota; Fungi; Basidiomycota; Agaricomycetes; Polyporales; Podoscyphaceae. The record is from RNAcentral.